GCUGGCGUAGCUCAGUUGGUAGAGCAGCUGACUUGUAAUCAGCAGGUCGGGGGUUCGAUUCCCUUCGCCAGCU
Molecule: transfer RNA, 73 nt
Filed under: Nitrospirae bacterium RIFCSPHIGHO2_01_FULL_66_17
Lineage: Bacteria; Pseudomonadati; Nitrospirota
Also listed under: 3 other names
Description: tRNA-Thr
Rfam family: tRNA
About the family: Transfer RNA (tRNA) molecules are approximately 80 nucleotides in length. Their secondary structure includes four short double-helical elements and three loops (D, anti-codon, and T loops).
Source: RNAcentral